Molecule: ribosomal RNA, 212 nt
Filed under: Clostridioides difficile
Lineage: Bacteria; Bacillati; Bacillota; Clostridia; Peptostreptococcales; Peptostreptococcaceae
Description: partial 23S ribosomal RNA
Rfam family: Bacterial large subunit ribosomal RNA
Source: RNAcentral
CCCAAACCAAUAAAGUUUUCUUUAUUGGGGUUGCGGACAUAUCAUAACGAAGAGGUAUCGUAAUUGAAGAGGUUUGGAAAGACCAACCACAGAAGGUAAUAGUCCUGUAUGUUAAACGAGAAGACUUUAGAUAUGAUCCAGAGUACCACGGGACACGUGAAACCCUGUGGGAAGCAGGAGGGACCACCCUCCAAGGCUAAAUACUACCUAGU